This is a non-coding RNA of Mesocricetus auratus (golden hamster), 73 nucleotides long. Lineage: Eukaryota; Metazoa; Chordata; Mammalia; Rodentia; Cricetidae. The record is from Rfam.
CUGGAUAUGGCUCAGCAGUUAAGAGCACUGGUUGCUCUUCCAGAGGACCUGGGUUUAAUUCCCAGCACCCACA